RNAcentral lists this long non-coding RNA (1696 nucleotides) under Bemisia tabaci. Its description in RNAcentral is "lncRNA ENSSSA3NGG011920". Lineage: Eukaryota; Metazoa; Arthropoda; Insecta; Hemiptera; Aleyrodidae. The record is from RNAcentral.
GUCCGUCCCCUACCUGGGGGGACCCACUCCAACACCUUCUUCGGCAACCUGGUAUCAGCCAUUCUCUGCACAUGCCCAUACCAUACCAAUUGCUUGGUCAUUAGAAAAUUGGUCAUUUAGAAAUUUUUUUUAAAAUUAAAAUAUGGACAAGAUAGUGGACAUACCUAAAAGCCAUGACUUUAAAUAACUAUUCACUGAACUAAAUCAGCAAGAGAGAUAAAAAUGUAUCACCUUUUCUUGUAACUUGUUAAGUUUCCGCUCCUCAAUUUGAGCCUCAAGUUCUUUGUACAUGUAUGCCGUUCUCAGUUUCUGCUCAAGCUCUUGAAGUUCUUUUGAAGUAAUUUGCAACUGCUGCCUAUAACAAGAAGGAAAAUGAUAUGUAAAAAUGAGUAAAAAGGAUAAAAAGUUAGAUUUGACAAAUGGUAAAGACUUCUUUGGUGAACACUGAUGUGUAAAACAUACCGUAAAUGUUUUGUACACUGAAGGAGGCAGGGGAGACGUGACUAUAAUUUCUGUCAAUUUUAACACCAUUGCUGUAAUUUAGUUUUAGCAAUGUAUUCUAUAACUAAUGCCAGAUUUUAAAAUAUUGUCAUUAUCAUUGGUAGCUGAUCACACAGGUGCAAGAAGUUUUUUGCCCUCACAUUUCUUGAGGCGGCUUUCACAUUGCUGUCCUUGAAAAACUGUGAGCUUCCUUAUUAUCUUCACAUAAAAAGCACACUUCACUAUUUUUUUUGCGAAGAGAGCGCUUAGUAGUUUUGCUAUAAGAAAAUAACACUUGUUACGGUCCCUUCAUAAGAGUGCCUUCUGCCUUCGCUUUUUCCCUCAUUCAACUACCUUCACAUUUUUCCUUCUAAUGAUCAGUUGAGCGCUUUCUGCAUCCCUGGCCAAUGAAUCCCUUUCUGCUUUCCUGGCCAAUUAGCACUAUGCUUCAGCUAAUCUGUCCUGUUGAUGGCUGAUACAAUGAAAAAGCAAUUUUUACAAAACCAGACAAAUGACAGGGAGAAAAGCUGGUUUCAAUGCACUGCUCAUCCUAAUGUAAUACCUUUAACUUCAAGUCAUCCAAUUAUAAGGAUACUUGCAACUUGUUAUUACCUUUGCUUCAAUUGCCGAAAUUCAUCCUCUGAAAGUUUGCCGAUUUUUCUCUCCACUGAGUCGUCCUUGCUGGGCAGCAUUUUUCUCAAAAUGAUUCAACUCUCCAAGCUCCUAACUUCGUGAUCAAAAUUGAGUUGGAGGCUCAGGAAUUUCUUCGUUUACAACCGUGACAAUAAAUCCGGUGUUACAUAAAUCUUGUAUUGCUACUUAUAGCUUUAGUAUAGAUAACACAGAAAAGGAUAAUUUACUGUGACUGGAGCAGAGACUAAAGUCUCACUAUGCCUAGUUUAAAAUAAGAAGAAACUCUGAAACACACGUAGGAAACAUCGUUGACAUGUGGCUUGUGAUAAUCCUGUAUGCCUUCCUGAUUGACACAAACGACUGAGAUAAAAAAGAAUUACGAGUUUAAAAUUGAUAAUCACCCCUCGUGUGUAGAACGAAGACUGAUAAACUUCCUCAAAACAUGUAGAGAAACACGGAGAGAAAUGAUCUGUUAUCACCCUGGUUAUCACCGGAAAUAGAUAAGUUAGGUUAGAAACGAACAAACUCACGCACGCACACAACAACACAACACCCACGCGCGCUGAGGCUGAAGCAUCAUGGC